This 40-nucleotide ribosomal RNA is filed under the name Talaromyces purpureogenus. RNAcentral's name for it is "partial 28S ribosomal RNA". Lineage: Eukaryota; Fungi; Ascomycota; Eurotiomycetes; Eurotiales; Trichocomaceae. The record is from RNAcentral.
UUGACCUCGGAUCAGGAAGGAGUUACCCGCUGAACAUAAG